This 408-nucleotide long non-coding RNA is filed under the name Androctonus crassicauda. The record is from RNAcentral. Lineage: Eukaryota; Metazoa; Arthropoda; Arachnida; Scorpiones; Buthidae.
AUAGAGUAAAAAAAAAAAACACUUGAAGGUAAUGUUUGAAGACUUUCCUUUUUUUUUUUCUUUAUAAAGAUCCUUAAAGUUAUUUACAUGAUUAGAGGUAAGGAGCUAGUCAUUUAACCAUAAAUAUUUAAGAGCAAAUCUGCACAAACUCUUAACCAACCGCAAAUAUCCCUUUUCUCCAUAAAAAUAUGGGAAAUUCCCUGACAGUAAAAUCUUUUAACCGUCGAGAUAAUAAAAGUUUCGAGAUCAGGAAAAUUUCAAUUCCUUUUUUUUUUUUCCUUCCUGAUUCUCAUCCUGUUAUUGUUAUUGUUAUUAUGGAUGAAGUCAUAAAUGCAAACAAUCCUGUCAACACAGAAAUACUUCAUUUUAUAUUAUUAUUAUUUUUUUUUUUGAUACAACCAAUUUUUG